Small nuclear RNA from Tupaia belangeri (northern tree shrew), 105 nucleotides. The record is from Ensembl. NCBI's taxonomy places the organism in Eukaryota, Metazoa, Chordata, Mammalia, Scandentia, Tupaiidae.
GUGCUCGCUUCAGUAGCACAUAUACUAAAAUUGGAACGGCAGAGAAGAUUAGCAUGGCCCCUGUGCAAGGAUGACAUGCAAAUUCGUGAAGCGUUCCAUAUUUUU